This is a long non-coding RNA of Cebus imitator (Panamanian white-faced capuchin), 2137 nucleotides long. RefSeq lists it as uncharacterized. NCBI's taxonomy places the organism in Eukaryota, Metazoa, Chordata, Mammalia, Primates, Cebidae. The record is from RefSeq and is a predicted model, not a curated record. The transcript is spliced from 4 exons.
CAGCCAGCUUCCGUGCCGGCAACGCGGCUGCCUUCUCCUGGGCUAGAGAGUGAGGACGUCCGUUCCCCGCCCCCAGGCGUCCCUAGGGUCGGCGCCAGAGCCCAGGAGCCCAGGAGGCCUUCGCUCGGGGACGGCGAGGCGGGCUCUGGGUCCUCUCCCAGCCAGGCCGAGUUUAGCAUGUGGAGGUGGCGCGGGAGCGCGGGCAUGGACCAAGGGAAGGGGGACCCCCAAACCGCACUGGUGCUUUCCUUUCCCUCCACUCGCUCCGUAGCCCUCCCCAAAUUGCCCGUCUCCGGUAGGACUGACUCUGCCUGCCUGGCCUCUCAGCUACCAACUUUGCCCGCAAUCUAGAUCCCAGACCUGAAUGGAGCUGUCUCUCCCUAACCUCCCACAUUGCACAGUUGCUGAUGAGCCCUGUAAUUAAUGAAGAUUUGCCAACAGUUGCACACUCACUGACGUUCUGAGCUUAUUGAAAAAAGCAGCCUCACUUUCAUUGUUUCAAUGCUGAGAGCUUGACCUAGAAGGAUGGUUGAAAUCUCAGAUGCCUGUAGGAGCCAAAGAAGGAAAACAAGCAAAGCUUCUCAGUAUUAGAAAUCACUAGGGAGAGGCAGAAAAGAUGCACAUAAGGGUGCUGAUCAACAGAAGACAAGAUUCAUUUAUGUUUGUUCAGUAGAAUGUGUCAACUCAUUUGGUUAUGCAUAUUUUCAAUCAUUAAUAUUUGGCAAUCAAAAUCACAUGCUUUCUGGAAAUCUAGUAAAUUAAAAAAUUUAGUAGCUGUAAAGAAUAGAACUGGUGCAUAUGGGCAUAUAAGACUAACACCCAUAUAUAUUUCUUUGUGCAUUCAUUACUUAUUCACCUAAUGCAAAAAUCAUGGGCACCGAGUGAGUUCCAGGAAGAAUUCGUAGCACUGAGGGCACAGAUAGGAAGCAUGGAAAAUUCCUGCCUUCCUGAUGAUUACAUUUUAACUGGGGAGGCAGAAAAAAGAAAGAAGGAAAGAAAGAAAGACAAGAAAGAAAGAAAGAGAGAGAGAGAAAGAAGAAAUAAAGAAAAAGAAAGGAAAGAACAAAUUUCAGUGAGUAUUAAAUUCUAUGAAGAACAUAAUGUGAGCUAGCUAGAGUAUGGAGGAAAGGUACAGCUAGAUUAUUUAGACAGAAAGGCUUCUCUGAGAAAGUUUUCAUGUGCAUGUAUCAAUAAGCACAUAUGCUACCUGGAUUUAUGUAAGCAUUUAUUUCUUAAUAUGCAUUUGUAUUUGCAAUGUCUUGUAUGAUGUUUAGCAUAAAAUGAAAGAAAAAUCCUCUUUGUAAUUGGAGAUGGAAGGCAUCUAGUGUCUUGAAAAGUCUGUGCACAGAUGUAGGGGCGUAUAUGUAAAGAUUGUUGAUAUUAUUGUUUUCCCAAAUAUAACACAGACAACACAGCAGCCUAUUAUAAAAUGGUUUAUUACAAAGGUUCGGAUAUAAAGUCCUCCAGAGUCCUUUCUAAUCAUUUUCUUCAAAAAUUGCUACUUCUUCUUCUGUAAUAAUAAUUUAUACAUAUUUUUGUUAUAAUGCAUUCCACAUUGCAUUGGCAUCAGUUAUACACAAGUAUAUAUUUAUUUCUAGAUUUUGCUCCUUGACAGUGUUUUUCCUUUAAUGCCUUUGUAUUUCCAAGCAAAUCAAAUUUGUUUUGAUAGAAGUGUGUGAUAGUGAGGAUUUUCCUGUAUUUCAGUUACAAUGUUCUGACCUGAUUACAUGGGAAAUUUUUACUUAUAUGCUGAUGUUCUAAGAGAAAAAUACUGUCUUUAAGUGGCAGAGCUGAAUUCCAAAGUCCAGCAAACCAGCUAGCUGACUUGUGCUUAUUGGUCAUAGAAAACAUUGCAGCUAAAUUGAUUAGCAAUGACAACACUACUGCUGCUGUUGGAAAUAUCUACCAUUUUUUCAGCUUUUUCCAGUGUUAGCUAUUGGCCACUACUUACAUCGUUCUAUCAAAUCCUGACAAUUGCCCUAUCAGGUAAAUGUUUAUUGAGACACUUCAUAAAUGUGUAAUUGAAACUCAGAAUAAAAAACUGCCUGGCCACUAACCUUGUCAUAGAUUGUCAUAAUAUUAUGUGUGCUGAGUUAUAUCCAGUUUAUUACAUAUAAUAAAAAUACUAUAAAAUUUC